This 306-nucleotide small nuclear RNA is filed under the name Oryctolagus cuniculus (rabbit). Its description in RNAcentral is "7SK RNA". It matches the Rfam family "7SK RNA". From Rfam's summary of the family: 7SK was discovered as an abundant small nuclear RNA in the mid-70s but a possible function has only recently been suggested. Two independent studies have found that 7SK RNA binds the CDK9/cyclin T complex (known as elongation factor P-TEFb). P-TEFb activates transcription by phosphorylating the C-terminal domain of RNA polymerase II. The record is from Rfam by way of RNAcentral. Lineage: Eukaryota; Metazoa; Chordata; Mammalia; Lagomorpha; Leporidae.
GGAUGUGAGGGUGAUCUGGCUGCGACAUCUGUCACCCCACUGAUUGCCAGAGUUGAUUCGGCUGAUCUGGCUGGCUAGGAGGGUGUCCCCUUCCUCCCUCACCGCUCCAUGUGCGUCCCUCCUGAAGCUGCGCGCUCAGUUGAAGAGGACGACCUUCCCCGCUAGAGGAGGACCGGUCUUCGGUCAAGGGUAUACGAGUAGCUGCGCUCCCCUGCUAGAACCUCCAAACAAGCUCUCAAGGAAAUAACUAUUGAACAGACAGCAGAACAUAUUUACCAAAAUACUGAGUGGCAUCCACUGUUCUCU